AUUGAACGCUGGCGGCAGGCUUAACACAUGCAAGUCGAGCGGUAGCACAGGGGAGCUUGCUCCCUGGGUGACGAGCGGCGGACGGGUGAGUAAUGUCUGGGAAACUGCCUGAUGGAGGGGGAUAACUACUGGAAACGGUAGCUAAUACCGCAUAACGUCGCAAGACCAAAGAGGGGGACCUUCGGGCCUCUUGCCAUCAGAUGUGCCCAGAUGGGAUUAGCUAGUAGGUGAGGUAAUGGCUCACCUAGGCGACGAUCCCUAGCUGGUCUGAGAGGAUGACCAGCCACACUGGAACUGAGACACGGUCCAGACUCCUACGGGAGGCAGCAGUGGGGAAUAUUGCACAAUGGGCGCAAGCCUGAUGCAGCCAUGCCGCGUGUGUGAAGAAGGCCUUCGGGUUGUAAAGCACUUUCAGCGAGGAGGAAGGUGGUGAGCUUAAUACGUUCAUCAAUUGACGUUACUCGCAGAAGAAGCACCGGCUAACUCCGUG
This 490-nucleotide ribosomal RNA is filed under the name uncultured bacterium. RNAcentral describes it as "partial 16S ribosomal RNA". It matches the Rfam family "Bacterial small subunit ribosomal RNA", at positions 30 to 507 of the family's 1533-position model. The record is from RNAcentral.